Molecule: RNA transcript, 5171 nt
Organism: Drosophila biarmipes
Lineage: Eukaryota; Metazoa; Arthropoda; Insecta; Diptera; Drosophilidae
Exons: 3
Source: RefSeq, a predicted model, not a curated record
AAACUAGCUACUUGUUCCAAAAGUGAUACAACUAAUGUUUUUUAUAUUGAGUUGUUUAGCAUCGUCUGGAGUGUGGAGGACUCUAAAAUAACGUUUUGGCACAAACUGACAAACAAAAUAAAAUUUCAUUAUAAGAAGUAUCUUUUGCGUAUUUAAACUGAGCAUCCGGUUUUGACGGUUAAGGUGUCAUUUCUCGUGUAUUUCAAGUGAAAUUAAUAAUCAAAAUAUUCACCUUCACACAUACAUCACUCUUUUUCCCAACAAAAUUUUUUUAUUGUUUCGUUUUCGAAUGCGAUCCUUACAGUUUUGCAAUACUAUUCGAUUGAUGUAUCACUCGGAACAAUCAGACGUUGGUUUUUAUUUCGUCCCAUACAUAUAGUUCUCACCUUCGCACACCCUCCUGGUGCGCUUCGUCACUACGUGGACUGCCGUCCACAGUAAUACUACUAUACUAAUAGUUCCUGGUAGAAUUGGACUCGUAGUUCAUUAAAUAAUCACAACAAAUUUUUAGGAUACAUUUUUUUUAUCUCUGUGUUGGUAAUCAGGUAAUUUACAACUAUCAUGCCACCAUUUAGUCUUAAACUACAACUUGGCAAACAUUGACAAUUUGGAAUUUUGGGAAUUCGAUCUCUACCCGGUCAUCCUGUCGGCCAUGAAAGAAAGUAUGUAAAUACUAGCCAAAAGAAUUUGGUAACCUUGUACUAAUUAAAGUAUGGCGAAGGGUCCGCGAUACAAUAAGGAAGCCUCAAACUACUAACAUAAAUAACAUAAAUUUAAAUCCUUAAACAAUCCAUAUAUUUUUAUUUUUUUGGUGCACCAGCAAGUUUUGUCUAUGUUUAAUUGUUCCAAUUUUGUUGUCAACAUAAGAAACCUAGCUGGUUGUCAGCAAGACUACUUGCAUUGAGUUAGCUUUGGUCACACAAAGAACACGAUUUUUCGACAUGUUCUGAGCUCUUGCUAGGCUAUUUAGCCAAAACCCAAACAGCGUCUUCCCACAGAGAUCCAUCAUCACCAUCCAUCAAGAGUCCGUCAAAAAUCCCUAUUCAAAUUGGUCGGGCUCUUUCAGGCGAUGUUAUUUCGGUGCAUCUUUGAGAUGGUGAAUGUACUCUGUGGGAAUCGAAGUUUCACAUUUGUUAAGAAUCCCAAACGUUUCGAACGGAUGCCCCUAUAGAAAGGAGGUACAUAGCUAUCGAAUUUCCGAGGUUUGAACUUCAACCAAAGGGAACAAGAACUGCGGACCUGCUGUUGAUGGCAGCAACGUACACCCCCCAUCCUUGAGCUGCGUGAACUUUUGUGCAACUCUCCCUGGCACUGGAUACUGGGUCUGUUAUUCGUCAGCUCACAACAUUUUCACGCUCUACCCACCUUUAUUCUUUCUUUUUAACUUUAAUUUGCAAAACCUUUACAAUUAACAUAUACUUCGUUGCAUAGCUUCCUAACCAGGGUACCACAGGGACGAAUAUGUGGGUGACGAUAAUAACAAUUUCUAGUUUAUUUUAAUUCUUACUUCUGUAUGUACAUAUGUAUGUAUGUCAGACGGCAAAAAGCUCUUUUUUGUGCCUAAAAAGCUGUGCCCCUGUCGACGUUAACAGAUAAGUCGGAACAGCGUAGAAGAGUGCCGACAAAUAAGUUAAAUAUGGCAUUCAAAAGUAUUCACAGUUAUAAGGAAUAAUCAACGUUAGAAACUUCGUGUGAAAUUUUUAAGGAUUGUUGGUAGCCUUAGUAAUAUUAAAAUAAUUCUUUAUUAUUUCUACGACCAUUUACUUGACAGUUAUAUGUUAGAGUAGUCCGAUUUUUAUUAAACUUAAUUCCAAAUUGUUAAAAAAGUAUCAAAAAUUAUAUUCCCAAUAUUCUAAGAUAAUAUGUCAAAAAACGACGAAUCUAUAAUUUGUUUCAUAUUAUUUUCCUACCCAUUUUUCAAUCAUUCCUAUGACAGCUAUAUGAUAUAGCUAUAUGAUAUAGUCGUCCGAUUUUGAUAAAAUUUAAUUCGAAGUUCAGAACUAAUUAAAAAAUGUUAUUUUAAAGCUAUAAUUUUUUUUUAAAUUUUUUCCCCGACAGUUCCUAUGGGAGCUAUAAGAUAUAGUUGUCCGAUUCGGCUGGUUCCGACAUAUAUACUACCUGCAAUAGAAGGAAAACUUUUGGGAAAGUUUCAGCCCGAUAGUUUCAAAACUGGAAGACUAGUUUGAGUAGAAACCGUCAGACAGACGGAUAUGGCGAGAUCAACUCGUCUAGAGACGCUGAUCAAGAAUAUAUAUACUUUAUGGGGUCGGAAACGUCUCCUUCACUGCAUUGCAAACUUCUAACUGAAAUCAUUAUACCCUCUGCAAGCGUAUAAAAAGGCGAAUUAUAAAACGGUAUAAUACGCUGCGUUCAGUAGAACAACAUGGAAUAACCUGAUCACUGAUGGAAUUUAUAUGAUAGUUCUCGGUAAAAAAUGAGCGUAAAAUUGGUACGCCACAUUUUUGUGAUACGUGCUACAUACAGCUGUCGUGUAUCGAUCAGUCAAAUUUCGAUAAAAAUUAAUAGAAUUAAAAUUAAUAUAGUAUGAAGUUAAUUUAAUCUUAUAAAACUGAUUUAGCCGUUUUAAUUUUUACGUGUCAACAAUUGCUGUGCGCAAAGGUGCAGUUUAAGUGGCAACCAAAAACGUUUUUAAAAACGUCAUUUUAAUGAAAACCAUUUCUUAAUAAGAAUAUUUUUAAAAACAAACGCUUGACCAAUCUCCUUCACCUUAUUUUCCACCGCUACAAGUUAUUACUUAUUUUUUUAACGUACUAGUCACUAUAAGAAAAGAUUUUGAGGGAAGGAAUUGAGUUUAUGAUAUGAAAGUACCAAUACUAGCAGCUACAUGUCCGUUCUCCGUGAAACCUUUGGGUUACUUUGUAGCAUUCUUUUACAAAGUAAGGGAUUUAUUUUUACCUGGAACUGAUCGAAUAUAUAAAGGUGUAGCAAGGAUGCAAUCCUGGUUUAAUACUAAAAUGAAAAGCGUUCAUCACUGUGGAUGCCAGUCCCCGUAGUGCCGAAACUCACCAUGGGAUUGUGCCAAGGCGACUUCUAUAUUUACAUUAAAAAACCCACUGUGAUCUUCCAAUUAUUUACAGAAGUACAUUAAUCGAAAUGUAUUUCAAGAACUUAAUGGAUUGGAUAUCAAGACCAAGAUCAAUUGGUUUGGGAGAAAACGAACGAGACCUUAACUGUCAAAAUCGCAAAACAAGAUUUUGAGGAUUUUUCAACAUGAAAAUUUUAUUUGGUUUGUAAAUUUGUCCGUUUCUUCCACAACCUAAAAACUCUAGAAGAUGUUAAUCAGCUCAAUAUAACAAACAUAAGCUCUCCGACUUUUGGUAAAAAUAGCUAGUUUGGACAGACAACUGCUAUAAAUAGCUAAAUUUUGUACACCCGUUAGUUGUGAACUAGUUAAGAUAAAAGUAUGUGCUAAAAAUGUAUUGCAAAAUAUUUUGAACGUCUUUCAAACAUUCUUUGUCUUAAUACCACCGUUUAAAAAUUAUGGGCCAACGUUCUUUUUAUUUAUUUACUUUAUUAAAAAAAUGUUUUUCUGAUUCCUUAAAAACGACUCCUUCAAUUUCGAUUUAUAGUUUAAUUUUUUGAUAUACGAAACAUUCUUGUAAAGUAAAUAUUUGUUUACAUUUGGUUAGAACAGUAUUUUGAAAACUUGUUACGCCCUUCUAGCAUAAUUUGUCUUUUAUCGGUUAAAAAUUAGUGGCAACAUUUUUUUUAUUUAUUUUUUUUUUUUGUAACGAUUUCAGAUUCUACCUUAAAGAGUACAGUUUUUGAGAUUCCUUGACAUAUAACAUGUGGUUGUAAAAUGCUACUUUUUAAAGCUUUUAAUCAACAAAAAUGGACAGAUUUACCUGUUCAGAGCAUGUAACACUGCCUGAGCAUUGAACUUCUUUGGGAUCCUGAAAUCAUUUUUAAUUUAUGACUUUUGGAAAAAGUAGAUGAAUUAUAUGAAAGAUGAUUGAAACAAAAAUUUCUGAUAUAAAACAAAAACAUUAUUUAUUGACGAACGCAUCUACACCUAACAAAAAAUUAUGAUAUCAACCUUUGUGACGAAAAUGUAUUAUAGAAUCUACUAAAUAAAAACAUUUUCCUCAUUUUUUUUAUGUUUGUACCGCUCUAUUAAAAUCAGAAAAUAGUUUUGUUUGGUUUGACGCGUCUUUUGAUCAACAGAUUACAUUUUAAAAAUAUUCACUUUUACUACUCUUUCUUCCAAACAAAUUGAUUUUUGUUAUGUCUUGGUAUGCAAUCCUUUUAGUAAUUUCAUUACCUUUAAGUUGAUGUAAUACUGUAUAUUUUCAUUCGUGUAUAUAAAAAAGUCGCCAUCUCACACCUCUCUGGUGCUCUUCGUCACUACGUGGUCCCAAUGUCCCCUCUGUCCAUUCUGACACAAUGAAAAAUAGGAAUUACCAAAUGUUGCAAAGCACUAGAAGGGAGUAAAAAGGAAAUCUGAUGGGCAGAAACUUCCAUGGAAGGGUGGGUACUAAAGUUCCUCGAAGCCAUCUGAGGAUUAUAAUAUUGUAAUAAUAAUUAUAAUAAUCAAGAAAAAAAUUCUUUCCUUUGAUCCAAUGAAUUACUCUAUGUGCGUUUGAUUAUUCAAGCUUGUUUGCAUUGCACGUUUAUUUAAGUAAGAAAAUUUUAAAAUAACGGUACUAGGAGCCCUAUAUAAGGGGGUCUAGAAACUGGAUCACCAUGUCAACUAGCAGCAACACCAAAAAGUCAGCAACAAGAUAACCAGUUGUCGGAAGCAGCGCCGUGUGAAGCCUACAAGAAGAAAGAUUUCUACGUCGAGACUUUCGGGAUUGGGACAUCUGGAAUCUGCGAACUGAGGUACAGGUAGCUGAGAUCCGGAAGGCGUCACACGGCUAAGUCAAGGCGGUUUCUUACCAACUUUGUCACAACUACACUGUUUGAUCAUUUUACUGUUUUUUAAUCUUUUCUAUUUUCGUUUCGAUGCCCGAUUGUCGAAAGCUGCAAUAAAUUUUCCGCAAAAGGUCGGAAAGCAACGUUCAUACUAAGUUACAACAAAAUAAUAGAUUCUACACAAUACUAGACUUUAUUAAAUACUGACACUAAAUACCGAUGUAAAAAGAAAAAAAGUCUAGUUACAUUCUUGAAUGGAAAAGCUUUUGGAAUAAACAAAACAUUUAUACAUAUAA